RNAcentral lists this ribosomal RNA (429 nucleotides) under bacterium. Its description in RNAcentral is "partial 16S ribosomal RNA". It matches the Rfam family "Bacterial small subunit ribosomal RNA", at positions 355 to 776 of the family's 1533-position model. The record is from RNAcentral.
UAGGGAAUCUUCCACAAUGGACGCAAGUCUGAUGGAGCAACGCCGCGUGAGUGAAGAAGGUUUUCGGAUCGUAAAGCUCUGUUGUUGGUGAAGAAGGAUAGAGGCAGUAACUGGUCUUUAUUUGACGGUAAUCAACCAGAAAGUCACGGCUAACUACGUGCCAGCAGCCGCGGUAAUACGUAGGUGGCAAGCGUUGUCCGGAUUUAUUGGGCGUAAAGCGAGCGCAGGCGGAAUGAUAAGUCUGAUGGGAAAGCCCACGGCUCAACCGUGGAACUGCAUCGGAAACUGUCAUUCUUGAGUGCAGAAGAGGAGAGUGGAAUUCCAUGUGUAGCGGUGGAAUGCGUAGAUAUAUGGAAGAACACCAGUGGCGAAGGCGGCUCUCUGGUCUGCAACUGACGCUGAGGCUCGAAAGCAUGGGUAGCGAACAGG